This 63-nucleotide transfer RNA is filed under the name Rhodobiaceae bacterium. RNAcentral describes it as "tRNA-Gly". It matches the Rfam family "tRNA", at positions 7 to 64 of the family's 71-position model. From Rfam's summary of the family: Transfer RNA (tRNA) molecules are approximately 80 nucleotides in length. Their secondary structure includes four short double-helical elements and three loops (D, anti-codon, and T loops). Lineage: Bacteria; Pseudomonadati; Pseudomonadota; Alphaproteobacteria; Hyphomicrobiales; Rhodobiaceae. The record is from RNAcentral.
GGGCGUAGCUCAGGGGUAGAGCACAACCUUGCCAAGGUUGGGGUCGAGGGUUCGAAUCCCUUC